RNAcentral lists this ribosomal RNA (210 nucleotides) under Castanediella sp. Its description in RNAcentral is "partial large subunit ribosomal RNA". The record is from RNAcentral. Lineage: Eukaryota; Fungi; Ascomycota; Sordariomycetes; Amphisphaeriales; Castanediellaceae.
AAGCGUUUAUGACCAGACUUUUUCCAAGCGGAUCAUCCGGUGUUCUCACCGGUGCACUUCGUUUGGUUGAGGCCAGCAUCGGUUUUCGUAGAGGGAUAAAAGCUUAAGGAAUGUGGCUCCCUCGGGAGUGUUAUAGCCUUUUGUAUAAUACCUCUAUGGGGACCGAGGUUCGCGCAUCUGCAAGGAUGCUGGCGUAAUGGUCAUCAACGA